UUCCAGACUCCUACGGGAGGCAGCAGUGGGGGAUAUUGCACAAUGGGGGGAACCCUGAUGCAGCGACGCCGCGUGGGUGAAGGAGCGUUUCGGCGCGUAAAGCCCGGUCAGCAGGGAAGAAAAUGACGGUACCUGAAGAAGAAGCCCCGGCUAACUACGUGCCAGCAGCCGCGGUAAUACGUAGGGGGCAAGCGUUAUCCGGAUUUACUGGGUGUAAAGGGGGCGCAGACGGCAGCGCAAGCCAGGAGUGAAAGCCCGGGGCCCAACCCCGGGACUGCUCUUGGAACUGCGUGGCUAGAGUGCAGGAGGGGCAGGCGGAAUUCCUGGUGUAGCGGUGAAAUGCGUAGAUAUCAGGAGGAACACCAGUGGCGAAGGCGGCCUGCUGGACGACAACUGACGGUGAGGCGCGAAAGCGUGGGGAGCAAACAGGAUUAGAUACCCCUGUA
RNAcentral lists this ribosomal RNA (446 nucleotides) under uncultured bacterium. RNAcentral describes it as "partial 16S ribosomal RNA". It matches the Rfam family "Bacterial small subunit ribosomal RNA", at positions 329 to 792 of the family's 1533-position model. The record is from RNAcentral.